RNAcentral lists this ribosomal RNA (497 nucleotides) under uncultured bacterium. RNAcentral describes it as "partial 16S ribosomal RNA". It matches the Rfam family "Bacterial small subunit ribosomal RNA", at positions 28 to 507 of the family's 1533-position model. The record is from RNAcentral.
GAUGAACGCUGGCGGCGUGCCUAAUACAUGCAAGUCGAGCGAACGGACGAGAAGCUUGCUUUUCUGAUGUUAGCGGCGGACGGGUGAGUAACACGUGGAUAACCUACCUAUAAGACUGGGAUAACUUCGGGAAACCGGAGCUAAUACCGGAUAAUAUUUUGAACCGCAUGGUUCAAAAGUGAAAGACGGUCUUGCUGUCACUUAUAGAUGGAUCCGCGCUGCAUUAGCUAGUUGGUAAGGUAAAGGCUUACCAAGGCAACGAUGCAUAGCCGACCUGAGAGGCUGAUCGGCCACACUGGAACUGAGACACGGUCCAUACUCCUACGGGACGCCGCAGUAGCCAAUCUUCCGCAGUGGUCGAAAGCCUGACGCAGCAACGCCGCGUCAGUUAUGAAGAUCUUCGGAUCGUAAAGCUCUGUUAUUAGGGAAGAACCUAUGUGUAAGUAACUGUGCACAUCUUGACGGUACCUAAUCAGAAAGCCACGGCUAACUACGUG